RNAcentral lists this ribosomal RNA (27 nucleotides) under Colletotrichum fioriniae. RNAcentral's name for it is "partial 18S ribosomal RNA". The record is from RNAcentral. RNAcentral also lists the same sequence under 1 other name. Lineage: Eukaryota; Fungi; Ascomycota; Sordariomycetes; Glomerellales; Glomerellaceae.
UAGGGUGAACCUGCGGAGGGAUCAUUA